GCUAGUCGUCCAAGGUAACCGUAGCUUGCUCUCGGGUGACGAGCGGGGGACGGGAGAGUAAUGUCUGGGAAACUGCCUGAUGGAGGGGGAUAACUACUGGAAACGGUAGCUAAUACCGCAUAAUGUCGCAAGACCAAAGUGGGGGACCUUCGGGCCUCAUGCCAUCAGAUGUGCCCAGAUGGGAUUAGCUAGUAGGUGGGGUAACGGCUCACCUAGGCGACGAUCCCUAGCUGGUCUGAGAGGAUGACCAGCCACACUGGAACUGAGACACGGUCCAGACUCCUACGGGAGGCAGCAGUGGGGAAUAUUGCACAAUGGGCGCAAGCCUGAUGCAGCCAUGCCGCGUGUAUGAAGAAGGCCUUCGGGUUGUAAAGUACUUUCAGCGGGGAGGAAGGCGAUAAGGUUAAUAACCUUGUCGAUUGACGUUACCCGCAGAAGAAGCACCGGCUAACUCCGUGCCAGCAGCCGCGGUAAUACGGAGGGUG
This 485-nucleotide ribosomal RNA is filed under the name Klebsiella sp. Its description in RNAcentral is "bacterial SSU rRNA". It matches the Rfam family "Bacterial small subunit ribosomal RNA", at positions 57 to 534 of the family's 1533-position model. The record is from RNAcentral. Lineage: Bacteria; Pseudomonadati; Pseudomonadota; Gammaproteobacteria; Enterobacterales; Enterobacteriaceae.